Molecule: long non-coding RNA, 2194 nt
Organism: Gasterosteus aculeatus aculeatus (three-spined stickleback)
Lineage: Eukaryota; Metazoa; Chordata; Actinopteri; Perciformes; Gasterosteidae
Source: Ensembl
AGCAUCUUCUUUGGAGUCGGUCUUAUAGGAUUGUUCUUCAUCAUGGCUGGACGCCUGCUGUUUGUCACCCUCAUGUAUUCCUGUGCCAAUACUAAAACACAAGCUCGUCCUCAACUCAUAAUGAAUUCAGCGGUGAUCUCAGAGACGGAAACAGUCACAUUGGACUGUCGAGCUCCAUCAUAUCCUACUGUCCACCAGUGUUAUUUCACCAUUAUCGGAGCAAAACAUGCCAAAGGCUUCACUUGUGUGCAGACACUGACAGGAACUGAACUGUUGAGGAUGUCAGACCAGAGAGCACCUGCUGAGGUUAAAGUGGAUUGUUAUUACACUGUAAUGGUUGGAGACGUGAAUCAUCCAUCUGCACACAGUGUCACAUCAUCCAUCACAAUCCAAAAUGUUGUCAAGUCGAGCACGACGCAGACUAAGACGGCAUCUGCUGUGACCACAGCAGGUCUUUGUGCUUCCAGGCCUGUAACUACUGUAAAGCAAACAUCAGCAGGUCUCAGUGCUUCCAGGCCUGUAACUCGUAUAAAGCAAACACCAGCAGAUCAAACCUUUGGACCAAGAAACUCUGGUAGUUUUAGUUCUCCUCCCCUCACAACAGACAAACCAACAUCAGAUGUUGUCGAGUCGAGCACGACGCAGACUAAGCCGGCAUCUACUGUGACCACAGCAGGUCUCAGUGCUUCCACGCCUGUAACUCGUAUAAAGCAAACAUCAGAUCAAACCUUUGGACCAAGAAACUCUGGUAGUUUUAGUUCUCCUCCCCUCACAACAGACAAACCAACAUCAGGUCACAAGCUGAUGUCACUGGUAAUAUGCACACGUAGUCAGACAUCAUCACUAUUAUUUAUAUGCAUAUUUAUAUUUUGGUCUUUCAGGGUAUUCGGGUGUGUUUUACUUGAUGUUGCAGUUGUCAUAAUAUUACAUUACAUGUCAUUUAGCUGACUCUUUUAUCCAAAGCGACUUACAUUGCAUUUUUAACCCAUGUUCUUCUAUAUUUUUAACCCAUCCCGGACAUUGGGAGUAGUGUGCAGCCGUAAAGGCGCCCGGGUGUCUUGCUUAGGAACACUUCUACAUUGGGACAUGGAGCAGCCAGGGUUCGAACCGCCUUGCGGUUCCCGGCACACCCUGUCUACUUCAUGCGCCACCGUCGCUAAUAUGAGAUAUCUUGAACAUGGAGAAUUGGUAAUAAAUAUAUAAUUUGUCAAGAUGGAUUACUUUUUUCAUUUAUUUAUGAAAUCCUCUCAAUUCCUCUUGCCUCCUAUUGAUUGGAGCUUUUAUUUCCAAAAUACCUUCCUGGCUUGUUUCAAAUUAUAUUAAAUUUAGGGGCGCACAACAGAUUCUUAUAAAGAUCAGGUGGAGCGUAUUGUUGGCUUUUUACAAAAAACCAACUUGACAAAAAGCAUCAUCUUUGUGUGCCGUUGUGUCACAUUUGCAGGUUCUGUGAAACUGGAGGAGCAAACACUUACACAUGAGAACCACGCCAUGUUCCAAAUAUACGCCAAUAUCCCCAACGAGCCACCUGCAUCAGCCAAACAGGACGCAGUGUAAAGCAACCUGAAGCCACAUUGAAACACAAGCAUUUUAUACUGUGUAGAGGAACGGUUGGGCGGACAGUCAAAACAUUUUUUUUUAAAUCAGUUUCUUUUACAUUUUUUAAACAUAAUAUUGUUUGUGAAAUUGCAAUGCAAAUUGUAACUGUAACAAACGACAGGUCUCAGCUGGCUUUAAGAUAAUGUUAGCACACUUCAUAUUUUGUUUUACAGGGAGAAAAGAUUUUAGAAUUUUGACAUAGAAAUACAAACAACUGAUGUUUCUUAUGUUUUGCAGUUAAGCUGCAAAAGUUGCAAUCGUCACCAUUAUUAUUUUGUGAAGUUGGAGGCUGUUGAUUAGCACCACAUUGUAGACAACUUCUUUCUCUUCAAAGUCAAAAUAGUAUAAGCUUGCUUCUUUAGUACUUGUAACACAAUGCCUGCUCAAUUAAACAAAUACAAAAAUAAGAUGACCGUGUGUUCUGGUUAUAUUUUCUUUUUCUGGGGGGCCGCUUCCCAGCUGGAAAUCGUGUACUUGCUAGCGAGAAUUAACUGGUAUCUAUUAGCAAUGCUGAAUACCGCCUAUAAUCAUCCUACCUUGCCUCAUGUCGGAAUGAUGAAUGACUACGAAACCUCGGCCAUGAACUCCCCAAAUACAG